AUUGAACGCUGGCGGCAUGCUUUACACAUGCAAGUCGAACGGGCUUGGGGGCUUGCUCCCAAGUUAGUGGCGAACGGGUGAGUAAUACAUCGGAACGUACCGUGUAGUGGGGGAUAACGUAGCGAAAGUUACGCUAAUACCGCAUACGAUCUACGGAUGAAAGCAGGGGACCUUCGGGCCUUGUGCUAUACGAGCGGCCGAUGUCUGAUUAGCUGGUUGGUGAGGUAAAGGCUCACCAAGGCGACGAUCAGUAGCGGGUCUGAGAGGAUGAUCAGCCACACUGGGACUGAGACACGGCCCAGACUCCUACGGGAGGCAGCAGUGGGGAAUCUUAGACAAUGGGGGAAACCCUGAUCUAGCCAUGCCGCGUGAGCGAUGAAGGCCUUAGGGUUGUAAAGCUCUUUCAGUGGGGAAGAUAAUGACGGUACCCGCAGAAGAAGCCCCGGCUAACUUCGUGCCAGCAGCCGCGGUAAU
RNAcentral lists this ribosomal RNA (474 nucleotides) under uncultured bacterium. RNAcentral describes it as "bacterial SSU rRNA". It matches the Rfam family "Bacterial small subunit ribosomal RNA", at positions 30 to 524 of the family's 1533-position model. The record is from RNAcentral.